RNAcentral lists this ribosomal RNA (520 nucleotides) under uncultured Scutellospora. Its description in RNAcentral is "SSU rRNA". It matches the Rfam family "Eukaryotic small subunit ribosomal RNA", at positions 569 to 1101 of the family's 1831-position model. Lineage: Eukaryota; Fungi; Glomeromycota; Glomeromycetes; Diversisporales; Gigasporaceae. The record is from RNAcentral.
AGCAGCCGCGGUAAUUCCAGCUCCAAUAGCGUAUAUUAAAGUUGUUGCAGUUAAAAGCUCGUAGUUGAAUUUCGGGGUUCUACCGUUGGUCGGGCUAUUGUCUGUACUGGCGUGUAGAAUUUCUACCUUCUGGGGAACUAUCAUGUUAUUAAUUUAGCGUGGUAGGAAACCAGGACCUUUACCUUGAAAAAAUUAGAGUGUUCAAAGCAGGCUUAUGUCUGAAUACAUUAGCAUGGAAUAAUAAAAUAGGACGGUGGUCCUGUUUGAUGGUUCUGAAUCACCGUAAUGAUUAAUAGGGAUAGUUGGGGGCAUUAGUAUUCAAUUGUCAGAGGUGAAAUUCUUGGAUUUAUUGAAGACUAACUACUGCGAAAGCAUUUGCCAAGGAUGUUUCAUUAAUCAAGAACGAAGUUAGGGAUCGAAGACGAUCAGAUACCGUCGUAGUCUUAACCAUAAACUAUGCCGACUAGGGAUCGGAUGAUGUUAAUUUUUAUGUACUCAUUCGGCGCCUUACGGGAACCAA